CAGAAGGCAGGGCAGGAACUUCAGGGCGUCGACAUGGACAAACAGAGCAGCAGCACAAACCCACAAGAAAGACUGGAAUGCAACACUAAGCGACAAAUAUUUCCAAGCGUAUAACGUGACCUCGCCGCUGCCUUUUGUCUUUUCUCUUUCCACUCUCCUCUCUCUGCAGGAAACCAGGAGGCCGAUGACAGAAGCGGACACAAUGCAGUGGAGGCUUCAGACGUACCAGCUCAGCAGCAGCAGCAGCAGCAGCACGGCUCGGAGCCCCGAGAGCGUGGCCCUUCUUAACCACCGUGGGGAGCCGCUUUUCCAGCAGGGGCCUCAGGGGCCACCCCAGGGGCCGGCGCCUCCUCCACAGCACCCGCAGCUGCAGUCCGUGGCGAGCACCCCCGCCCACCACCUCCACCUCCAACAGCACCACCAGCCCGCCGUUAGCAUGGCCGAUCUGCGGCCCGAGACGCUCAUCCAGUGUCAGCAGAUCGUCAAGGUCAUCGUGCUCGACAACAGCGGCCACGGCCGCGUGGAGGCCUUCCUCAGCCAGACGCCCACGCACCACCACCACUACCAGCAUCACCACCACGGCCAUCACCAGCUCAGCCAGUCGGCCAUGUCCACCCCGGUCCGAUCGCAGGACGGCUCCCAAGGCAAGGACGGCCACCAGCCCCCGCUACCCCCUCCACCCCCCCCUUACAACCACCCACACCAAUACAUCCCCCCUGACCCCCGCCUCAGCCUACAGCGGACCCCCAGUGGCUCUAGGAGCAUGGUGUAAAUAAGACUGACAUUGAUUUAGACCCUUUUCCUUGAAACACAAACACACACACACACACACACCCACACACACGCUAUUCCAUACCAACCCUAUCCCCUUCUCUAUCCAACAGUAUAUAAUGUACAUAUAUACAUACAGAAGACAGAGCUAUAAUGAAAAAAAAUGAAACCACAUCUAUAUGAAUAUAUUUAAGAUAUUAAUGAAUCAAAAAGAGAAUCAAGGUUUAAAAAGAGAUGCCGAGAAAUGAAGUGCAUAUAUAACAUUUUACUUGAUUCCACAUGUAUUUUGAAAUAUUAUGUAGUUCUAACAAAUUUCUAUAACUUUUUUGUCAGUUUUAACUCUUGCUAGAGAAAAAUCACAGAUGUUUAGUUUCUGGAUGGAUUCCUUGUAGUUCCGAUACACAACAGAACAAACACCCAAACAGAAAUACGUGAUUCCUCGAGCUUUUCAGAUUGUCUUGGUGAUGGAUGUACACCACUCCAAGGACCGCUUCUGUUCGCUUUUAUCAUCCCUAACUUCUUGCCUACUGUACUGUAUGUGUGUGUGCGUGCAUAGUUGACACUUACUGAAAAUGUGUGUGCCAAAAUACGUAAGCCUCCACUAAAAACGGACUACUUUGCACUUGACUAAACGCUAGGGCUAGAAGAAAAGAAUUAAAAAAAAAAAAAGAACAAAAAAACACUCUUCUGCUUUCAGAAAACGGUCCUUUCGCGCCUCUCCCUCAAGGAGCACAAAAAAAAAAAAAAAACGAUAAACAGAACCCUGAUAUUUCUGCGAAACCUGUCUCCUUGUUUGCGCUGUUGCUGAUUUAUUUACUUGAUGGAGAGCUUUCUCUUGUCCUCUCUGCUCUGGAAAAAAAAAAAGGACAUCCUCCGAUAAGCUGUGUUUGUCAUCCGCUCCUCUGUUGUGUUGUUGCUCUCUCUCUCUCUAUCAUCAGAAAACACUCUCUCCCAGUUGUCACUCUCCAUUGAUCAUCCUACAGUGAAGGAAUGAUGGGAAACAAAGGCAACCAAUCAUGCGGCUUCCUGCCAAACCAAAAAGCCAACGACAGCCCAGGAUAGCGCCGAUGAUUGCUGUUACUUUUCGUUUGCGUCAUAUUUGAUAUUGCCUAUGCUGCUCAUCAGUUCUUGCCUCCUUUAUCUGAUGAUGGAAUGAUAGUUUUUGAUAUUGAAGUCACAUUUUCAGGACUAUUGAAAUCGCUAUUGGGAAUUUACUCUUAUAACACAUUUUGACAUCCUUAAAUUAUUCCAUUUGGUUCCAUAUUGGCCUAUAUAUGUGUAACACGCGAUAUUGUUAUUUGUGUUCCCACAGACAAAGCGACAUGUCCUUUUUUCACAUUUUCAGGGGAAUUUCCACGGAGAUGUUAACGGCAUGGUUGUUUGAUAUCAAAAUGUGUAUGUUUAUUAUUCUCAUUCAUGCAUUCCGACUUUGUGUGAUUUCCUCUUGUGGAGCGAUGUCGGACCGCGCGCCGGUCGUACAAAACACUCCUGUGUCUCAUGUCUGUUCAGCUCCCUGAUACACUCUCUGCUCCUUGACACCACUUUCCCCUCCCACGUAACCUUUUAAUCUGACAUUUUCCAAAAGGCAAAAACAACCUAAAACACAUUUGCUGACCUCAGAGAUAUACACACACACACGCACGCACACGCAGCUCACAUUGCAAGCGCUGGCAUCAGUGGCAUUGUUUGUGCUGUCGGCUUGGCUGCUUUAAAUAAGAAUGGGACAAAGAGACUGCAUUAUUUGACCUCUUGCUCUUCACUCCAGCCUAGAUCACAUAAAUAUCACAUUCAAGCUGUGCUGGAAAGGACAAGCAAGCUACCUUUAGCCCCUUCGAAAUGCUGUUGCCCUGCCAUGCGUCCUUCACUCUGAAAUAGGUCAGCGACUGCCCCAGUCUGAAAGCGUCCAUCUUUUAAACAUAAGCCCCACCAGGCGCCGCGGAAUGGAUGCUCGGUUAACCCUGCCUCCCUUAUCUCUCUGAUUUGUUGAUUUAUAAUCACAGAGCCACUGUUGGGAGGUCCCUAUCUCAUCUUUCUGUCCUUUCCCACCUAUUAUGUUUUCACCAAACGGAAAGAGGGGGGAAAAAAGCCAAUCUGUUGUGCAGUGCUGGCAGAGGUUGAGUGUGUGUAUCUGUGCGUGUGUGUGUUUGCGUGUGUGUGUGUGUGUGUGACCUGCCCACAGAAGCAUCCUGAUCUCUCGGUGAACAGGGGGAUCUUGAUCUCACUCUUCACUUCUCUUUCUUCACAGAAUACUGACCCAAGUAAUUGCUUUUGUUAUUAUUUCAUCAAUCAGAGGCGGAUCAAUCCUUCCAAAAUGAAUCAGGAGCAAUUAUAAUUUACUGGCUGUAAAAAUGUAAAACGUUUGAAGGUGGUCUCAUGAAUUCCAUGCAUAUUGGAUCAAAAGUAUGUAUUUUACAUUGUAUGGUUGCUAAGGAGACGAUUUCUUUGUUUUUAGUUAUGUAUGUAUUUGGUUAUUCAUUUAUUUAUUCAUUUGAAACCAACAUUUAGGAAUAAUGUGAUUCUUUUCUCAUGCAUGACAUCGAUUUAUCUAUCGGAGGCCUAAUGAACUGUGAUUCCCCAGAGUCUUGAGGUUUUUCGUGCAUGAGUGAAUUUGCUCCGAGUGCAGUGCUGGGAGAGAAAGAUGCAUCUGUAUGUUCUCGGGUUUCUCUCACAACGCACUUUAAUGCGAGUAUCUUAUGUCUUUGUGGUAAAAGACUGCGUGUACUGGACGUUUAAAGUCAUAUCUGAUGAUAGCAAAUGCCCCCUCAGACAGAAAUGGAUAUUUGCGCAGAUGUGUUUUUAUCCCUUCCCCCGAUAUAACGCAUAGUGACAAGCCCAAGGUCUCAUAUGUGGCCAUUCUCAUCUUCUUGUCUUUCACUGGCCUCUGCUUAUGGUUGCACAGUGUUUUCCUAGUUGAUAACAUGUAACAAGCUCUUUGGGAUAGAUUUGCUGUGUGCGCAAUAAAUAUGAAUAUGCGAUCACAUUGAAAGGUUUAUGUUUGAUAGAAAAGCAAUGUAGCAUUUUGGGAGUGCAGCAUAUGAGUAUGGGAGCGCGGUGGCACUGGCUAACCUUAGAGAUACUGACAAAAGGGCUCUGCCAUGCCAGUGUACUGCUUCAUCUAUGAAUUGUGAAACUCCUCUUUUGAGUCUUAAGCACUGUGUUUGUUCAUAUUAGUAAAAAAGAGAUAAAAAAAAAUAACAAGAGGACAUAUUUAAGGUAGACAGGUGGAAACUGAGCAUUAUAGAUUUAUGAACAUCACCUCACCUCCCUCAGUUGGCUUUGAAUUUCUCUCUACCUGUCUUUGCAGUAUAUCAACAUGCUAUUAAAGAUGAUUUCAGUCUAUUCACCACACUGACUCGCGGUGCUUCUUUGAUCUGUUCACUCGAUUCCUCGGGCAAAUUUUAAAGCCACCAGAUGUCUGAGUCAAUACCAUUUUGAAUGACAUUCAGGAUUUCAGGAUACUGCUGAUUUUUAAGUGUCACACAGCAUUAACAUUCUAGAUGUGACCAAAAAGCAUGAAGCCAGGCUCAUUUGAAUUCACAGAAGACUCUUUUUAUUUAUCAAAAUGCGCUUUUCAUUCUGUAAUCAAAAAUCAAAACUUUUUUUUUAUUAUUAUUUUGAAUGUAAAAAGCACUUUCAUCUACAAUGAGCCUGUCUUCUAUGCUGGGUCACACAACCCUAACCCCGGGUACAAACAACUCACAGACAUAAAUAGCUCGAUCACCCGCUCUUUGAGAAAGCCCAACUAAAGAGGAGCUGCUUGUCUUUGAAAAACUGGGGAAUCUGUGCAGAGUGAAGAUGCUAAUGCAAAAUGCAGUUGUCAGUCGUGGUUUGAUGUUUACUUUUAUUGAAAUGGAAAAAAAAAUAAAAUAAACCAGUGUCAGGCAACAUUCUUCAUAUUCCUCCCGAAAUUGACAAAACACAAUCUUGUAUCACAUUUUGCACUUUUUUGUUUAAUAAAAAACAGACACUGUGCUUAGCUAUUUUGAAGCAGUUAUAUUUACAGCAGACGACUAUUUGAAUCGAAUGAGCUGAAAUGACUAUCAACAUUUAUGAAUAUAUAACAUCUUAAAUUUUAAAUGUGAAUACUGCAUAUCACAGCUGGG
Molecule: long non-coding RNA, 4874 nt
Organism: Myripristis murdjan (pinecone soldierfish)
Lineage: Eukaryota; Metazoa; Chordata; Actinopteri; Holocentriformes; Holocentridae
Source: Ensembl